This 217-nucleotide unclassified non-coding RNA is filed under the name Ascomycota sp. Its description in RNAcentral is "partial contains small subunit ribosomal RNA, internal transcribed spacer 1, and 5.8S ribosomal RNA". The stretch from base 1 to 47 matches the Rfam family "Eukaryotic small subunit ribosomal RNA", at positions 1785 to 1831 of the family's 1831-position model. The record is from RNAcentral. Lineage: Eukaryota; Fungi; Ascomycota.
AAAGUCGUAACAAGGUUUCCGUAGGUGAACCUGCGGAAGGAUCAUUAUCGUGGGGCUCCGGCCCCGUCGAGAUGGAACCCUUGCCCUUUUCGAGCACCGUCCGUUUCCUCGGCAGGCCCGCCUGCCAACGGGGACAACCAAAAACCUUUGCAGUACCUGCCGUAGUCUGAACGAAAACAAGCAAUCAAAACUUUCAACAAUGGAUCUCUUGGUUCUG